RNAcentral lists this ribosomal RNA (460 nucleotides) under uncultured bacterium. RNAcentral's name for it is "SSU rRNA". It matches the Rfam family "Bacterial small subunit ribosomal RNA", at positions 26 to 518 of the family's 1533-position model. The record is from RNAcentral.
AGGAUAAACGCUGGCGGCGUGCCUAACACAUGCAAGUCGAACGCCCUUGUGAAGGCAAGGGAGCGGCGGACGGGUGAGGAACACGUGGGUCACCUACCUUUUGGUGAGGAAUACCGGCGAGAAGUCGCCGACAAUACCGCAUAUGUUUCGCAAGAAACAAAGCCUUCGCAAGAGGGUGCCAGAAGAUGGGCCUGCGCCCGAUUAGCUAGCUGGUGGGGUAAUGGCUUACCAGGGCUACAAUCGGUAGCUGGUCUGAGAGGACGAUCAGCCACACUGGGACUGAGACACGGCCCAGACUCCUACGGGAGGCAGCAGUGGGGAAUAUUGGACAAUGGGCGCAAGCCUGAUCCAGCCAUGCCGCGUGGGUGAUGAAGGCCCUAGGGUUGUAAAGCCCUUUGGCGGGGAAGAUAAUGACGGUACCCGCAGAAGAAGCCCCGGCUAACUUCGUGCCAGCAGCCGC